ACGCUGGCGGCGUGCUUAACACAUGCAAGUCGAACGAUUAACCCAAACUUCGGUUUGGUUAUAAAGUGGCGAACGGGUGAGUAACACGUGACCAACCUGCCUUCUAGAUCGGGAUAACUCAAGGAAACUUGUGCUAAUACCGGAUACUCCGGAGCAAUCGCAUGGUAGCUUCGGGAAAGCUUUUGCGCUAGAAGAUGGGGUCGCGGCCUAUUAGGUAGUUGGUGGGGUAGAGGCCUACCAAGCCUGCGAUAGGUAGCCGGGUUGAGAGACUGAUCGGCCACAUUGGGACUGAGAUACGGCCCAGACUCCUACGGGAGGCAGCAGUGGGGAAUUUUGCGCAAUGGGGGCAACCCUGACGCAGCAACGCCGCGUGCGGGAUGAAGGUCUUCGGAUUGUAAACCGCUUUCAGUAGGGAAUAAGUAUGAAGGUACCUACAGAAGAAGCACCGGCUAAAUACGUGCCAGCAGCCGCGGUAAUACGUAUGGUGCAAGCGUUAUCCGGAAUCAUUGGGCGUAAAGCGCGCGUAGGCGGCUUGUUAAGCAGGAAUUUAAAUCUUAGGGCUCAACCUUAAGUCGGUUCCUGAACUGGCAGGCUCGAGUGCGGUAGAGGAAGGUGGAAUUCCCAGUGUAGCGGUGAAAUGCGCAGAUAUUGGGAAGAACACCGAUGGCGAAGGCAGCCUUCUGGGCCGCCACUGACGCUGAGGCGCGAAAGCUAGGGGAGCGAACAGGAUUAGAUACCCUGGUAGUCCUAGCCGUAAACGAUGGGCACUAGGUGUGGGGAGGAAUUCUCUCCGUGCCGCAGCUAACGCAUUAAGUGCCCCGCCUGGGGAGUACGGCCGCAAGGCUAAAACUCAAAG
This 856-nucleotide ribosomal RNA is filed under the name human gut metagenome. RNAcentral's name for it is "bacterial SSU rRNA". It matches the Rfam family "Bacterial small subunit ribosomal RNA", at positions 33 to 906 of the family's 1533-position model. The record is from RNAcentral.